GGAAGCACGAUGGUUCACUUGGAUUAUCUUUCUACUGCUGCAGAUUACCAGUAAUGAUGAAAUAUUACGUAUGUUAGUGUUGUGAAGCUCCCGGCCAAGUGGCUUCGUGUCACCGUGGAGUUCACAGAGUUCCCCCCGUAGGCCAUUUGGAUUUGGCACCAACGUAUUUAAUCAGAUGUACAUUUCGUGAGACCUCCGAUUGGAUGAAUCGUCCUUCUCUAUUCAAUCCCUGGACGUUAACGUCUGAUGAACACGAUCCCUUAUGGAGGGAACCAGCAUGCUGAGUCCUCACGUGAUCUGGUCUCCACUAAAGGCUCAAACCUGCAGAGCUGCUGCUGUUCUCACACGUUCUCACCACAACGCUUCCUCUUUACUUCUGAGGAAACAACCACAAGAUGCAAAGAGGAAGAAACUCAUCCUCAGAGCUCCGACACGUCGUCUCUAUGAGCACGACGAGGAAGUGACGCUGUGCAACCAGAGGAAGCAGAAGCUGCAUCUGUGAGGAAGAAGCACUCGGUCAGACGCCUUGAGGAGCAGAGACACCAUGGUGGAACUCAGAGGGACUCAAAGGACUUUAUGUGUGAUGCUGCUGCUGCUUC
Gasterosteus aculeatus aculeatus (three-spined stickleback) is the source of this 599-nucleotide long non-coding RNA. The record is from Ensembl. Lineage: Eukaryota; Metazoa; Chordata; Actinopteri; Perciformes; Gasterosteidae.